UACGUAGGGGGCUAGCGUUGUCCGGAAUCAUUGGGCGUAAAGCGCGUGUAGGCGGCCCGGUAAGUCCGCUGUGAAAGUCGGGGGCUCAACCCUCGGAAGCCGGUGGAUACUGUCGGGCUCGAGUACGGAAGAGGCGAGUGGAAUUCCUGGUGUAGCGGUGAAAUGCGCAGAUAUCAGGAGGAACACCUAUUGCGAAGGCAGCUCACUGGGACGUUACUGACGCUGAGACGCGAAAGCGUGGGGAGCAAACAGG
RNAcentral lists this ribosomal RNA (253 nucleotides) under uncultured bacterium. Its description in RNAcentral is "partial 16S ribosomal RNA". It matches the Rfam family "Bacterial small subunit ribosomal RNA", at positions 524 to 776 of the family's 1533-position model. The record is from RNAcentral.